RNAcentral lists this ribosomal RNA (503 nucleotides) under uncultured bacterium. RNAcentral's name for it is "bacterial LSU rRNA". It matches the Rfam family "Bacterial large subunit ribosomal RNA", at positions 28 to 483 of the family's 2925-position model. The record is from RNAcentral.
AUGCCUUGGCGUCUACUACCGAUGAAGGACGUGUCUGGCUGCGAAAAGCCACGGUCAGCUGCCUAGAAAGCGUUACGAACCGUGGAUGUCCGAAUGGGGAAACCCGGCGCCUUAGCGGGCGUCACUCCGGUGUGAACACAUAGCACCGGUAGAGGGAACCGGGGGAAUUGAAACAUCUCAGUACCCCGAGGAAAAGAAAACAAACGUGACUCCCUGAGUAGCGGCGAGCGAAACGGGAUCAGCCCAAACCUGCAUGGUGUUAAAGCCUGGUGGCGUUGCCAUGUGGGGGUUGUGGGACUCGAGAGACGGAGCACCAGAGCCGUCACAGAGUUACCAAGUUGAUGCGUAGUGGAAGCGUUCUGGAAAGGCGCGCCGCAGUGGGUAACAGCCCCGUACACGAAACGUAUUCAGCCUCUGCUCGAUCAUCCCAAGUAACGCCGGGACCGUGAAAACUGGCGUGAAUCUGCGAGGACCACCUCGUAAGGCUAAGUAUACGUAGACGA